GAUGAACGCUAGCGGCAGGCUUAACACAUGCAAGUCGAGGGGUAGGAGAAGCUUGCUUUUCUGAGACCGGCGCACGGGUGCGUAACGCGUAUGCAAUCUACCUUUCACAAAGGGAUAGCCCAGAGAAAUUUGGAUUAAUACCUUAUAGUAUUAUAGAAUGGCAUCAUUUUAUAAUUAAAGAUUUAUCGGUGAAAGAUGAGCAUGCGUCCCAUUAGCUAGUUGGUAUGGUAACGGCAUACCAAGGCUACGAUGGGUAGGGGUCCUGAGAGGGAGAUCCCCCACACUGGUACUGAGACACGGACCAGACUCCUACGGGAGGCAGCAGUGAGGAAUAUUGGACAAUGGGCGCAAGCCUGAUCCAGCCAUGCCGCGUGCAGGAUGACGGUCCUAUGGAUUGUAAACUGCUUUUAUACAGGAAGAAACACCUCUACGUGUAGAGACUUGACGGUACUGUAAGAAUAAGGAUCGGCUAACUCCGUGCCAGCAGCCGCGGUAAUACGGAGGAUCCAAGCGUUAUCCGGAAUCAUUGGGUUUAAAGGGUCCGUAGGCGGUCAGAUAAGUCAGUGGUGAAAGCCCAUCGCUCAACGGUGGAACGGCCAUUGAUACUGUCUGACUUGAAUUAUUAGGAAGUAACUAGAAUAUGUAGUGUAGCGGUGAAAUGCUUAGAGAUUACAUGGAAUACCAAUUGCGAAGGCAGGUUACUACUAAUAUAUUGACGCUGAUGGACGAAAGCGUGGGUAGCGAACAGGAUUAGAUACCCUGGUAGUCCACGCCGUAAACGAUGGAUACUAGCUGUUGGGAGCAAUCUCAGUGGCUAAGCGAAAGUGAUAAGUAUCCCACCUGGGGAGUACGAACGCAAGUUUGAAACUCAAAGGAAUUGACGGGGGCCCGCACAAGCGGUGGAGCAUGUGGUUUAAUUCGAUGAUACGCGAGGAACCUUACCAAGGCUUAAAUGUAGUUUGACCGGUU
RNAcentral lists this ribosomal RNA (969 nucleotides) under uncultured bacterium. Its description in RNAcentral is "bacterial SSU rRNA". It matches the Rfam family "Bacterial small subunit ribosomal RNA", at positions 28 to 1001 of the family's 1533-position model. The record is from RNAcentral.